GCACUUACCUGGAUGGGGUCUAUGAGUGAUCAUAAAGACUCCUGGCCUAGGUUGUUGAACUCUGUUGCCCUUUAUGAGGGGCAGCAGCUUAAGAUCUCCAAAUUGGAGAGUCUAUGUCAUAAUUUGUGGUAGUGGAGGCCUGCGUAUGCGUUGCCUCUAU
Amaranthus tricolor (Joseph's coat) is the source of this 160-nucleotide small nuclear RNA. RefSeq annotates it as U1 spliceosomal RNA. The record is from RefSeq and is a predicted model, not a curated record. The transcript has a single exon. Lineage: Eukaryota; Viridiplantae; Streptophyta; Magnoliopsida; Caryophyllales; Amaranthaceae.